GAUGAACGCUGGCGGCGUGCCUAACACAUGCAAGUCGAGCGGCAGCGAGGGGUGCUUGCACCCUGUCGGCGAGCGGCAGACGGCUGAGUAACGCGUGGGAACGUGCCCCAAAGUGAGGAAUAACUGCCCGAAAGGGUAGCUAAUACCGCAUAUUAUCUUCGGAUCAAAGGAUUUAUCCGCUUUGGGAGCGGCUCGCGUCGGAUUAGGUAGUUGGUGAGGUAAUGGCUCACCAAGCCGACGAUCCGUAGCUGGUCUGAGAGGAUGACCAGCCAGACUGGAACUGAGACACGGUCCAGACUCCUACGGGAGGCAGCAGUGAGGAAUCUUCCACAAUGGGCGAAAGCCUGAUGGAGCAACGCCGCGUGCAGGACGAAGGCCUUCGGGUUGUAAACUGCUUUUAUAAGUGAGGAAUAUGACGGUAACUUAUGAAUAAGGAUCGGCUAACUACGUG
RNAcentral lists this ribosomal RNA (451 nucleotides) under uncultured bacterium. Its description in RNAcentral is "partial 16S ribosomal RNA". It matches the Rfam family "Bacterial small subunit ribosomal RNA", at positions 28 to 507 of the family's 1533-position model. The record is from RNAcentral.